AGAAUAUCAGCAUAGUGAUGAAAAAGUCCCCAAAAGGGCUCCAUCUGGUUUGGCUAUAACUCCUGCAGAAAACCCAGUCUAUGCUGGAUGCACCCAUCUUUCCUCUCUCUCAUUGACCUUUUUACAGGGUUCCUGACAAGAUUUAUGUCUGUUUUGCACUGCAAUGUGCUAUCAUUCAACAUGACAGUAUUGGAAUAAUCCAGCAUGUAAGAGCAAAACUGGUCAACAGCGUGUACAAAUUUGGGUCUAAACCUCUGACCACUUCACAUAUUGAUCUUAAUUGGUGGAGCCUGAUAAGAAUCACAGAAAAUGCCGAGUUGGAAGGGACCCACAAGGAUUGAGUCCAACCCUGCACAGGACCAUCCCCAUCACACCAUGUGCCUGAGAGUAUCAUGCAAAUGCUUCUUGAACUCUGGCAUGCUUGGUGCUGUGACUAUUUCUCAUCACAGAGAAGAGAUCAGUGCCUGCCUCUCCUCUUCCCCUUAUGAGGAAGUUGUAGACUGCAAUAAGGUCUCCCCUCUGUCUCCUACAGGCUGAACAGACCAAGUGACCUCAGCCGCUUCUCAUACAGCUUCCCCUCAAGGCCCUUUACUAUCUUUGUUACCCUCCUUUGGACACUCUCUAAUAGCUUAAUAUCUUUCUUAUAUUGUGGUGCCCAAAACUGCUCACAAUAUUCAAGGUGAGGCUGCACAACUGCAGAGGAGAGCGGGACAAUCCCCUCCCUCAACCAGCUGGUGAUGCUUUGCCUGAUGCCCCCCAGGACACGAUUGGCCCUCCUGCGUGCCAGGGCACUGCUGACUCAUAUUCAACUUGCCAUCAACCAGGACCCCCAGGUCCCUUUCUGUGGCACUGCUUUCCAGCAUCUCAUUCCCCAGUCUGUAUGAACUGAGAGAGUUGCCCCAUCCCAGGUGCAAGAUCUGGCACUUGCCCUCGUUGAAUGCAAAUGUUGUAUAGGAACAUUAAUCCAACUAAAUGAAAAGUAUAUAUGUGCUGUGUGCAUGUUGGUGGGGAUACCCAUUUUGUGUCUUAAAAACUGGGGAAGUAUUGAUUCUUGUCAUUAUAGUCUAGUUUUUAUUCUGUUGAUGGCUCUCAAUAAAAUUAUUUAAAGUAUUUAAAACUUUCAACCAAUCUUCAGUAAUGGGAAAUGAGUUCCAGAGAAAAGUUAAGGACAAAUAAUUGAAGUAAAAAGCAGAAAUUCCUCUAUUGAUCUUUUACUAAUUUAAGUUUAUCAUACCUUAAUCCCUUUGUUGUUCGCUAACUUGUUUCUAAUCUCUCUGUGCCACUUCACUCUUUUCUCUCAGAGUCAGGUCCAAUGAAAAUGCUGCAUCUCUUCAUCCUAGAUAGGAUGAAGAUAUCUAAGACCAAAACUUCUUUCUGAAAUCCCCCUUUGCUCCACUGCCACCUAAUGAUGAAGGCACACCACCUCAUGCAAGGUCUCGGUGGAAAACUUUACACAAAAAAUUUAUGUUAUGGAGUACUUGUGUGACUAACACAUUUCGGAUCCCAGGCACAACAGUGUUGGGAUUUCGGAUCCCACCAGCUAAUGAGAAUUUAUUCAGUUGCCUCCUCAAUCCCACUUGACACAGAAGAGUACCAAAGCAUCAGGCAAUAUCUUAACUUGGUGGCAGAGGAGGCAAGGAGGAACAUGACUUUGUCUCUCAGGGGACUGAGCUUUCUGCAGGGAUCCUGGGUUCUAUUCAGGGACCACAGCUGCAUUUUAUGCAAUGCCUGCGUAAAGGAAUUACUCUAAAUUCUCUGCUGAUUUGAAUUUAUUCUGCUUUCAUUUUUUUCUAUACCUUAGGGAAGCAUGGUCUUAGCAUUGGCUAAGCAGAAAUGAUAGCAGCCUUGGAGCUCAUAAAAAGAGUAUUUGUAGGCCAAAGUUUUCAAGAGGACCUACUUGAAAGACUGAGAAUUUAAUUGAGAAUUAACAUAUUUUUUGUUUUUUAAAUCUUCAUUUCUAUUUUUUCUCACAACACAAUUCAAAAAGGAAAGUGUGCUUAUUUAGAUGUCGUUGCUGAUCUGUGAUUUGCUUGAUCUGCAGCGGUGGAUGAUCUGUACUUCAAACAAGUUUUAACUAGCCUGUACAAAGUGGGAGUUGUGUAGGUAUCAGCUGUGGGGCACGUGAAAUACUGGAGAGCUGGUUGAAUAAUCUAGCCACAGAAUGGCCCCAUCAUUGAAAUUUGUCAGGGACUCGUCCUAAUGAGCUCUGCAGCCACCCCAGGGUUUACACCUAGCAUCUCUUAUGAUGGCAGACAGAGCCUGCAUUUCAAGCCUGUUUUUACAGUUGAAAGCUCUCUUUCAACUGUAAAAAACACACCCUGUAUAGUAUACAGAGACUGUGCCAUUAGAGAUUACUCAUUCCCUGAAAGGCAGAAACCACUUUUCCCUCCAAAUGUCCCUCAGCCCUGAGUCAGGAUAGUGAGGAUGAAGUGUAUUUAUAAUGAACCUCUCUCCCCCGCUCAGCUCUGAUGCUCAUCCAUCAUCACCCGUGACAAGUUGUUAGUGCUCUGUCCACCCAGAAGGUAAAUCCAUCCUCAUCAGCCAGCGCUAAAUGCUGCCCCAGCCCAGUGGGUGUUGCCCAGACGCUGCAUCGGCUUCUGCUGCCUUUUCCUCUGGUUUAUCAAGAGAUGGCAGCAAAAAGCCACUUAACCUUUGAUCUCAGUCCUCGGGGCCUCUCUCUGUCAAGGGCUUCUGGCAGCCUUUACCCACCCACCCACCCACGCCUCCGCAGAGGCGCCUUGUCACACACAGCCGACAGCCCGGAGCCUCACCCGCCCUGUCAAGUAGGAGGGCGGUGGGAAUGACAGCCGGGACCAGGCUCAGCAGGGACCACGGCCAGAAGUAGGAGCAGGCAGCUGCAGCUGACACGAAAUCCGACCAUAGAAGGAGCCAGAGUUGGCCGGUGCCAUCAAUUAGGUAUUGAUGGGGCUUUCCCUGAGGCGAGAAAAGGAGUGUGGCAAGGAUCAGGCAUUAGGUGAAGAGUAAUAUUUCUGAAAAUGAGAAGGAACAAAAUGAAAGAACUGAAGCACCGAAAAAUAGGCAUGUAAAGAGUAAGUUCUUUAGGGGAAUGUAACCCUUGGCCUUGGGCCAUGGUGAUGGGAUUUCCCCUUCUAGAAAGGACUACAAAAUAUUCAAAGUAUGCAUGUUGCUAUCAUGAUGUUAUGUCCGAGGUGAGAGACACAGGAAGGAACUUUCUAAUUCACCGUGACAAGCUGACAAUUCAUUUGCUACAGUGAUAUUUGUGAGAGUAAAAAAAUUGGUAACAUAACAUGUCAGUAAAGACAGCUAGAAAAUAAAUAUUUUAAAAUUAGACAUGAUUAGAAAUAUAACACCCAGCUCUAUUUCAAAUAUUUUUUAGUUUUCUUGCUAAAGAAAGGAAUAAUUUUCAAAAUAAUUGGUCUUAAACUGGAUUUUAAAAAAACUUACAGUGUUCAUUAGUGAAUAGCAAGAGACUUCAUUAUUAAGUGUUUCAGGAUGCUUUCAGAAACUGAUUUCAGAUAAAGCAGCCAAAAUCAGCUGCAUUUCAAGUAAGGAUAAGUUCUGGGGCUUUCAGCGUCACUGCUUACUUUUAAAUGUCACUGUGGAGCUGCCAACAGGUAUGAAAAAGCAAGAGGCUGCUUAAGCCACCCAGCAGCUCAGUGUUUUUCCAGUUGGAGACAGAGAAAGUAUGAAAUGUACAUGGAGGGAAACUUGGAGUUCUAGAGGAUGCAAAGAGCAAUGUACCAUGUGAGAUGGACCCACCUUCGUUUAUCUUCUUAUUCUGUGGCACUGUAAUUGUGUAUUAACCAAAAUUGGAUGAAUUCCAUUUUCCUAUCUAGAAAUAUGAACGGUAGUUGUUUCUG
Molecule: long non-coding RNA, 3842 nt
Organism: Pseudopipra pipra
Lineage: Eukaryota; Metazoa; Chordata; Aves; Passeriformes; Pipridae
Exons: 2
Source: RefSeq, a predicted model, not a curated record